This 1563-nucleotide ribosomal RNA is filed under the name Triticum aestivum (bread wheat). RNAcentral's name for it is "partial small subunit ribosomal RNA". The record is from RNAcentral. Lineage: Eukaryota; Viridiplantae; Streptophyta; Magnoliopsida; Poales; Poaceae.
AUGAAUCAUAAUUUAUUAGAAUACUCUUUGGCGCUCCACGAGAAGGAGGUGCGGAACAAAGGCGGAUUCACACGCAGCCAGUUCUUCCUGGUGGCCUUCAUCUGCAGCUUCGUCUACUACAUCUUCCCCGGCUACCUGUUCCAGAUGCUCACCUCCCUCUCCUGGAUCUGCUGGGUGUUCCCCAACUCCGUGUUCGCCCAGCAGCUCGGCUCGGGCCUCUACGGCCUCGGCAUCGGCUCCAUCGGCCUCGACUGGGCCUCCCCCCUGGUUCGUACCGCCAACGUCGCCGCAGGAUUCUUCAUCAUCAUGUACGUGAUCACGCCCAUCGCGUACUGGUUUAAUUUCUACAAGGCGCGGAACUUCCCCAUCUUCUCCGAUGGGCUCUUCACCGAGACCGGGCAGAAGUACAACAUCACGAGCAUCGUGGACUCCCAGUUCCAUUUCGACACGAAGGCCUAUGAGAAGAACGGUCCACUGUACCUCAGCACCUUCUUCGCCGUCACGUACGGUGUUGGUUUUGCAUCCCUUACCGCGACGAUUGUCCAUGUCCUCCUCUUCCACGGAAGUGAAAUUUGGCAGUUAAGUAAAUCAGCUUUUAAAGAGAAGAGGGUGGAUGUACAUACAAAGCUUAUGAGGAGAUAUAAGCAGGUGCCCGAGUGGUGGUUCAUCUGCAUCCUUACUGUUAAUAUUGCUGUAACUGUAUUUGCUUGUGAAUACUACAUCGAGCAACUCCAGCUGCCCUGGUGGGGAGUACUGCUGGCAUGUGCCAUUGCCUUUUUCUUUACCCUCCCAAUCGGAAUUAUCACAGCAACUACGAAUCAGACUCCAGGAUUGAACAUCAUCACAGAGUACAUCAUGGGGUACCUGUACCCUGGACGGCCCGUCGCGAAUAUGUGCUUCAAGGUAUAUGGCUACAUCAGCAUGAGCCAAGCUCUGACGUUUCUGCAAGAUUUUAAGUCGGGCCACUACAUGAAGAUUCCCCCAAGGACCAUGUUCAUGGCUCAGGUGGUCGGAACUCUGAUUGCAGCAUUUGUGUACCUUGGAACAGCAUGCCCUUGGACCUGCCCCGGUGAUGUGUUCUACGACGCAUCAGUCAUAUGGGGUCUCAUUAGCCCACGCAGAAUAUUUGGGGACUUAGGAACUUACUCGGCAGUGAACUGGUUCUUCUUGGGGGGCGCCAUUGCCCCACUCCUUGUCUGGUUUGCACACAAGGCAUUCCCAGGCCAGAACUGGAUCUUGCUUAUCAACAUGCCCUUGUUGAUUGGUUCCACCGGCCAGAUGCCACCCGCCACUGCAGUCAACUACAUCACAUGGAUAUUUGUUGGGUUUUUGUCAGGCUAUGUGGUCUAUAGAUACCGGCGUGACUGGUGGGAGCGACACAAUUAUCUGCUUUCAGGUGCACUAGAUGCUGGUUUGGCAUUCAUGGCCGUGUUAAUUUACAUGUGCCUAGGCUUGGAGAACAUCAGUUUGAACUGGUGGGGCAAUGACUUGGAUGGAUGCCCCCUGGCUUCUUGCCCCACUGCUAAGGGUAUAUUUGUUGAGGGGUGCCCAGUGUAUACGUGA